UACGGAGGAUGCAAGCGUUAUCUGGAUUUAUUGGGUUUAAAGGGUGCGCAGGCGGGAGAUUAAGUCGGCGGUGAAAUUUUGCAGCUCAACUGUAAAAGUGCCUUCGAAACUGGUUUCCUUGAGUGUAGAUGAAGUAGGCGGAAUUUGUGGUGUAGCGGUGAAAUGCAUAGAUAUCACGAGGAACCCCGAUUGCGCAGGCAGCUUACUAAACUACUACUGACGCUCAGGCACGAAGGCGUGGGGAUCAAACAGGAUUAGAUACCCCU
This 266-nucleotide ribosomal RNA is filed under the name uncultured prokaryote. Its description in RNAcentral is "partial 16S ribosomal RNA". It matches the Rfam family "Bacterial small subunit ribosomal RNA", at positions 524 to 788 of the family's 1533-position model. The record is from RNAcentral.